Molecule: transfer RNA, 86 nt
Filed under: Trichinella nelsoni
Lineage: Eukaryota; Metazoa; Nematoda; Enoplea; Trichinellida; Trichinellidae
Rfam family: tRNA
About the family: Transfer RNA (tRNA) molecules are approximately 80 nucleotides in length. Their secondary structure includes four short double-helical elements and three loops (D, anti-codon, and T loops).
Source: Rfam by way of RNAcentral
CCUCUGAUAGCUCAGUUGGUAGAGCGGUGGACUGUAGAUAAAAUUCAGAAAUCCAUAGGUCGCUGGUUCAAAUCCGGCUCAGAGGA